Molecule: transfer RNA, 106 nt
Filed under: Escherichia coli K-12
Lineage: Bacteria; Pseudomonadati; Pseudomonadota; Gammaproteobacteria; Enterobacterales; Enterobacteriaceae
Description: tRNA from Escherichia coli K-12 (PDB 7N2V, chain Dt)
Rfam family: tRNA (bases 1-73)
About the family: Transfer RNA (tRNA) molecules are approximately 80 nucleotides in length.
Source: RNAcentral
GCCCGGAUAGCUCAGUUGGGAGAGCAGGGGAUUGAAAAUCCCCGUGUCCUUGGUUCGAUCCCGAGUCCGGGCACCAUCCUUGGUUCGAUCCCGAGUCCGGGCACCA